UGGCCAGACUGGUCUCAAAAUCCUGACCUCAAGUGAUCCAUCUGCCUUGGCCUCUCAAAGUGCUGGGAUUAUAGGUGUGAGCCACCGUGCCUGGCCACUAAUUUUGUAUUUUUAGUAGAGACAGGGUUUCACCAUGUUGGCCAGGCUGGUCUUGAACUCCUGACCUUAGGUGAUCAGCCCGCCUCGGCUUCCCAAAGUGCUGGGAUUAUAGGCAUGAGAAACAAAUUUAUUUUUUGUUUGUUUUUUUGAGAUGGAGUUUCGCUCUGUUGCCCAGGCUGGAGUGCAGUGGCUCGAUCUUGGCUCACUGCAAGCUCCGCCUCCCGAGUUCACACCAUUUUCCUGCCUCAGCCUCCCAAGUAGCUGGGACUACAGGCGCCCGCUACCAUGCCCGGCUAAUUUUUUGUAUUUUUAGUAGAGACGGGGUUUCACCGUGUUGAACUCCUGACCUCGUGAUCCACCCACCUGAGCCUCCCAAAGUGCUGGGAUUACAGGCAUGAGAAACAAGUAUUUUUAUGAAGCUGGGAUUCGGCUGCACGUACAGCUUGGUAAUGUCCCCAGUGUUUGAAUUGGGAAACAGUUGCUGCCGUGCAUUUCUUACAUCCGUAUUUGUGCACAUGUGCAGUGACGUCGAUGUUUAGACGUGAAGCAGUCGAGUCACAGAGUGUGACUGGGAAUUGGACCUUGAUAGACGUUUGAUAAGUUUGUUAUCCAGACACCGAUCGGAACGGGUGUGCCUAAUACACUCUACAAGGUCUGCAUGAGGGGCUCUUUUUGCCAGUUUAAAAGGAGAAAUAGGAAGGGGGCCCAGCCCUUCCCCUCACACCAAGCAGCUGAGCGACGGUGGAGCUGAGCUGUGAUGGCUGCGGACCCGCGU
Molecule: small RNA, 874 nt
Filed under: Pongo abelii (Sumatran orangutan)
Lineage: Eukaryota; Metazoa; Chordata; Mammalia; Primates; Hominidae
Description: processed transcript
Source: RNAcentral